AAGUCUAAGUAUAAGUGAUUCUGAUGACGAAACUGCGAAUGGCUCGGUAAAACAGCAAUAAUUUCUUCGAUGGGUAACCCUACUACACGGAUAACCCGUAGUAAUUCUAGAGCUAAUACGUGCCAUAAAUGCGAGGCUUUCCUCGUGGUGCUAAUUAGAUAACAACACCAACAUAUGGUGAUUCAUAAUUCUCUUUCUGAUCGCUGAGUAAAUCGGCGACGCAUCGUUCAAAUUUCUGACCUAUCAACUUUAGAUGGUAAGGUAGUGUCUUACCAUGGUGGCAACGGGUAACGGACCGUGGGUGCGGGACUCCGGAGAGGGAGCCUGAGAAACGGCUACCACAUCCAAGGAAGGCAGCAGGCGCGCAAAUUACCCAAUCCGGACUCCGGGAGGUAGUGACAAGAAAUAUCAAUAGGGGACCCUAUGGGUCUUCUAAUUGGAAUGAGAACAAGCUAAACAGCUUAUCGAGAAUCCAGCAGAGGGCAAGUCUGGUGCCAGCAGCCGCGGUAAUUCCAGCU
This 518-nucleotide ribosomal RNA is filed under the name Melobesioideae sp. SWD-2014. RNAcentral's name for it is "SSU rRNA". It matches the Rfam family "Eukaryotic small subunit ribosomal RNA", at positions 55 to 590 of the family's 1831-position model. Lineage: Eukaryota; Rhodophyta; Florideophyceae; Hapalidiales; Hapalidiaceae. The record is from RNAcentral.